UUACGGCCAUAUCAUGUUGAAACAUUGGUUCCCAUUUGAUCACCAAAGUUAAGCAACAUUAAGCCUGGUCAGAACCUAGAUGGAUGACUGCUUAGGAAUACCAGGUUCUGUAAG
Non-coding RNA from Acanthosepion pharaonis, 114 nucleotides. The record is from the annotation of a GenBank genome assembly. Lineage: Eukaryota; Metazoa; Mollusca; Cephalopoda; Sepiida; Sepiidae.